CAGCAAGUCUUCCAGCGUGGGGGGGCCUGCUGUGGCCCUCGCCAUUCCUCCAGCACUUGCCAGAGCAGGCCUCCCUGGGACGGUUUGAGGCCUCUCCCUGCCCUCACCAGGGAGGGGUUAUAGACAUCCCAGACACCU
This 138-nucleotide small nucleolar RNA is filed under the name Colius striatus (speckled mousebird). RNAcentral's name for it is "Small nucleolar RNA SNORA9". It matches the Rfam family "Small nucleolar RNA SNORA9". Rfam says of the family: ACA9 is a member of the H/ACA class of snoRNA that guide the sites of modification of uridines to pseudouridines. Lineage: Eukaryota; Metazoa; Chordata; Aves; Coliiformes; Coliidae. The record is from Rfam by way of RNAcentral.